Hemicordylus capensis (graceful crag lizard) is the source of this 541-nucleotide long non-coding RNA. RefSeq lists it as uncharacterized. The transcript is spliced from 4 exons. The record is from RefSeq and is a predicted model, not a curated record. Lineage: Eukaryota; Metazoa; Chordata; Lepidosauria; Squamata; Cordylidae.
UUUGGCUCAUGUAGGAUUGCAAAACCUAGUUGUGGAAAAGACCCUACUGUUCCCAGGCUUUCCUAGCAAUGCCUAUGAAAUGGACCCAGAGUUACCUCUCAAUAAAUUGUUGCUUUGUUCCAGUUCUGGGAUCCCACUGAUGCCUCAUAGUACUUCUGCAGUGUCAUCUUCAGAUGUUCAGCUUGACGCCUCCUUCAGAAAGCUGAGGAGAGGAGAUUUCUUGACCUGUUCCAGCUACAGCAGAAAUGCACAGGAAAUUCAUCAGGGAGAUAGAUUGAGACCGGCAUUCCUCAUUGCUAGCUACUGUACAUAUAGAAAGAGGAGAAGAGAGAAGAAGGAAGUCUCUCCCUCCAGGGAAACCUGUUUGUCAUUACCCAACUCAUCUAGGUUGGACCCAACUUGAAGUCCUUUUGCUCCAUUGGAAAGUCUGCUUUUCUAGACUCAGAUGUUUGAAUGAAUAGGUAUAAGUUGGGCAUGGACCAUCUUGCCUUCCACACUGCAUGUUCAAAUAAUGUCAUGUAAGAUUUACUACUACUACUAU